AUAGCAGUCCAUGAGACCAGUAACUAGAGGGAACUUUACCAGGGAGGCAAGUCACGACUGAGAGCUUGCUAAAGGAAAACCUAGCCAAUUCACUCAACUAAAGGACAAUAAAGUAAGGUCUGGAUAUCCAGAUGAAACGGAUGGUACCGCGUGUCAACGCUCCGAUA
RNAcentral lists this unclassified non-coding RNA (167 nucleotides) under Streptococcus varani. RNAcentral's name for it is "T-box". Lineage: Bacteria; Bacillati; Bacillota; Bacilli; Lactobacillales; Streptococcaceae. The record is from RNAcentral.